This 492-nucleotide ribosomal RNA is filed under the name uncultured bacterium. RNAcentral's name for it is "partial 16S ribosomal RNA". It matches the Rfam family "Bacterial small subunit ribosomal RNA", at positions 29 to 507 of the family's 1533-position model. The record is from RNAcentral.
AGUGAACGCUGGCGGUAGGCCUAACACAUGCCAGUCGAACGGCAGCACAGUAAGAGCUUGCUCUUACGGGUGGCGAGUGGCGGACGGAUGAGGAAUACAUCGGAAUCUACUUUUUCGUGGGGGAUAACGUAGGGAAACUUACGCUAAUACCGCAUACGACCUACGGGUGAAAGCAGGGGAUCUUCGGACCUUUCGCGAUUGCAUGAGCCGAUGCCGGAUUAGCUAGUUGGCGGGGUAAAGGCCCACCAAGGCGACGAUCCGUAGCUGGUCUGAGAGGAUGAUCAGCCACACUGGAACUGAGACACGGUCCAGACUCCUACGGGAGGCAGCAGUGGGGAAUAUUGGACAAUGGGCGCAAGCCUGAUCCAGCCAUACCGCGUGGGUGAAGAAGGCCUUCGGGUUGUAAAGCCCUUUUGUUGGGAAAGAAAAGCAGCAGGUUAAUACCCCGCUGUUCUGACGGUACCCAAAGAAUAAGCACCGGCUAACUUCGUG